UACGUAGGGUGCGAGCGUUGUCCGGAAUUACUGGGCGUAAAGAGCUCGUAGGUGGUUUGUCGCGUUGUUCGUGAAAACUCACGGCUUAACUGUGAGCGUGCGGGCGAUACGGGCAGACUGGAGUACUGCAGGGGAGACUGGAAUUCCUGGUGUAGCGGUGGAAUGCGCAGAUAUCAGGAGGAACACCGGUGGCGAAGGCGGUUCUCUGGGCCUUACCUGACACUGAGGAGCGAAAGCGUGGGGAGCGAUCAGG
This 253-nucleotide ribosomal RNA is filed under the name uncultured bacterium. RNAcentral describes it as "partial 16S ribosomal RNA". It matches the Rfam family "Bacterial small subunit ribosomal RNA", at positions 524 to 776 of the family's 1533-position model. The record is from RNAcentral.